GACGAACGCUGGCGGCGUGCUUAACACAUGCAAGUCGAACGGUGAAGCGCCUUCCUUUUUGGUGGGUGUGGAUGAGUGGCGAACGGGUGAGUAACACGUGAGUAACCUGCCCCCUUCUUCUGGAUAACCACAUGAAAGUGUGGCUAAUACGGGAUAUUCUGGGUCUGUCGCAUGAUGGGUCUGGGAAAGAUAUUGUUUCGGUGGGGGAUGGGCUCGCGGCCUAUCAGCUUGUUGGUGGGGUGAUGGCCAACCAAGGCGGUGACGGGUAGCCGGCCUGAGAGGGUGGACGGUCACACUGGGACUGAGACACGGCCCAGACUCCUACGGGAGGCAGCAGUGGGGAAUAUUGCACAAUGGGCGCAAGCCUGAUGCAGCGACGCCGCGUGAGGGAUGGAGGCCUUCGGGUUGUGAACCUCUUUCGCCAGUGAAGCAGGCCUGCCUCGUUUGUGGGUGGGUUGACGGUAGCUGGAUAAGAAGCGCCGGCUAACUACGUG
Molecule: ribosomal RNA, 494 nt
Filed under: uncultured bacterium
Lineage: Bacteria
Description: partial 16S ribosomal RNA
Rfam family: Bacterial small subunit ribosomal RNA
Source: RNAcentral